Molecule: ribosomal RNA, 167 nt
Filed under: uncultured bacterium
Lineage: Bacteria
Description: partial 16S rRNA
Rfam family: Bacterial small subunit ribosomal RNA
Source: RNAcentral
UGGGGGAAAUAUUGGGACAAUGGGCGCAAGCCUGAUCCAGCCAUGCCGCGUGUGUGAANAAGGCCUUAUGGUUGUAAAGCACUUUAAGCGAGGAGGAGGCUACUUUAGAUAAUACCUAGAGAUAGUGGACGUUACUCGCAGAAUAAGCACCGGCUAACUCUGUGCCA